Molecule: ribosomal RNA, 492 nt
Filed under: uncultured bacterium
Lineage: Bacteria
Description: bacterial SSU rRNA
Rfam family: Bacterial small subunit ribosomal RNA
Source: RNAcentral
GAUGAACGCUAGCGGCAGGCUUAACACAUGCAAGUCGAGGGGCAGCACGUCUUCGGAUGGUGGCGACCGGCGCACGGGUGCGUAACGCGUAUACAACCUACCUUAUAGAGGGGAAUAGCCCAGAGAAAUUUGGAUUAAUGCCCCAUAGUAUUAUUGAAUAGCAUUAUUUGAUGAUUAAACAUUUAUGGCUAUAAGAUGGGUAUGCGUUCUAUUAGCUAGAUGGUAAGGUAACGGCUUACCAUGGCGACGAUAGAUAGGGGUCCUGAGAGGGAGAUCCCCCACACUGGUACUGAGACACGGACCAGACUCCUACGGGAGGCAGCAGUGAGGAAUAUUGGACAAUGGGCGAGAGCCUGAUCCAGCCAUGCCGCGUGCAGGAAGACGGCCCUAUGGGUUGUAAACUGCUUUUAUACGGGAAGAAACACUCCUUCGUGAAGGAGCUUGACGGUACCGUAAGAAUAAGGAUCGGCUAACUCCGUGCCNGCAGCCGAC